Molecule: transfer RNA, 73 nt
Filed under: Loxodonta africana (African savanna elephant)
Lineage: Eukaryota; Metazoa; Chordata; Mammalia; Proboscidea; Elephantidae
Rfam family: tRNA
About the family: Transfer RNA (tRNA) molecules are approximately 80 nucleotides in length.
Source: Rfam by way of RNAcentral
GCACCAGUGGCAUAGUAGUUAAAGCGUUCGGCUGCUAACCCUAAAGGCCAGUGGUUCGAAUCCACCAGCUGCU